This is a long non-coding RNA of Cucumis melo (muskmelon), 1647 nucleotides long. RefSeq lists it as uncharacterized. The transcript is spliced from 4 exons. The record is from RefSeq and is a predicted model, not a curated record. Lineage: Eukaryota; Viridiplantae; Streptophyta; Magnoliopsida; Cucurbitales; Cucurbitaceae.
UUUUCUCUAAAAUAAUAUUUUCUUUAUCUUUUUGCCAAAAUUUCUUUCCAACCUCUCUCCAUUCCCACAAUUUUCUUUCCUUUCUUCUUCCUUUCUCCACAAAAUUUCCAAAUCCUAUUCUCUUAACUGCGUAUCCUAGUGCCCACCGCCGCACGUUGGCAACUCCAACUCCCUCCACCGCUGUAAGUUCAUGACUCCGCCCCAGUCGAUGUGACUCGAUCGUAAGUUCUCUUCCUUACACGAGUUUACCUUUCUUUUCUUCUUCCCCACGAUCUGUUCACUAUCAAUCGUGCUCUAGUUUCCACCGUCGACUGACGGCUACGAACCAUGUCGAACCACAAACCACGCUAACGACUAGCAACUACGAACCACGCCUACCGCCCUAAUAUUUGAGCUCAAUUAUUUGAUUAAACCGUUCCACGUUUGCUUUUCAAGGACAAUCAAUCAUGGCUGGCCCUCCCUAAUUCUUUUGUACUAAUUUAUUUAUUGCCUCUCACCUACCCCCAUGACGACUUACCUAUCUCCUCUUCACCAUCCUUCUCAUUCCUUUCUUUCAAUUUCUCUCUAUUGGGAUCUCAGUCACAUUCUCAACGCUGCCCAAUUGCUAGAUUUCUGACGCACACCAAAGAAAAAUAGAGUUUAGGGGUAAAUUCUAAACUAAAUCUAUCACACCCAUGUUUUAUUUCCUAUUCUUUGAUGAGUUUUAGUUUCCUUCUUUGGCUUAUAUGCUCGAAAAAUGGGGUUUAAUGAAAUGAAACUUUUAGUACAUGCUUUUGGAGUUUGUCCUAAACCAACUGAGAGAUGGAAGCUGUGUAAUAAAAAAAUGCAAGGGAGAGAAGAUCACCAGCUUGAGUAUAAGAGGAAAAGUUGCUUUUCAUGGACAAAGGUCGUCGAAAAGAAUUCAACAGUAGUUUCCACAGAUGAUAGCAUAUGGGAUGGAUUCCAGUGUAUGAUUUUAACUUUUCCUUGCAUGAGCAUUUUCAAAUAUUUUAGAAGUUUUUAGAUUUAUGUUCAAUGUUAUAGCGGCUGAAGAAGCAUCGUCAGCAGAGAAAUUUGGAACAGCAAAACUAGCUGAAGCCACUACCCAAUCCACUUCUGUAAUGCAAAGAUAAAGCUUUCAGUUUCAUCUUCUUUAGUUCCUGAAAAACCUACAAGAUAUGUUGAAUGAAUCUUUUUGGAAAGGGCUUUUGGUGUUUAUUCCACACAAUUGGGUUUACACAAUUUGGUUCUUAUAUUUAUUUAUUCUACUCCAUUUUGGGUAUUUUCUUAUGUGUAUAUAUAUAUACAUAUUGGACGCAUUACAGGUGCGAUACAAAAGAGAAGCUAAGUAGGAGUUUCUUCCAUGUUGAAGCAUUGCUUAGCAUUUCUUGUGCGGUUUAAUCGAAUUAAUUUUCUGUGAUCGAAUUCAUGAAAACACUUAUUAAGGGCAUGUUAUGAAAGAAUCCAGAGCAUAGAUCAAACGUUAGCUUUUCCACAUAUUUACAUUUUACAGACUUUGAGAUUUUUCAUGUUAGGCAUAAAGCUAGGUAAAACAAUUUCUUCACAUGGUAGAAGUUUGGGCUAUUGUAAUUAAGUAUGUAAUGACCAACUAUAUGUAUGGUUCAAUGAUAUAUGCAAUUUGUUAAAUUAUUAGUUCUUUGACGAAAA